AAAUUGAAGAGUUUGAUCAUGGCUCAGAUUGAACGCUGGCGGCAGGCCUAACACAUGCAAGUCGAACGGUAACAGGAAGAAGCUUGCUUCUUUGCUGACGAGUGGCGGACGGGUGAGUAAUGUCUGGGAAACUGCCUGAUGGAGGGGGAUAACUACUGGAAACGGUAGCUAAUACCGCAUAACGUCGCAAGACCAAAGAGGGGGACCUUCGGGCCUCUUGCCAUCGGAUGUGCCCAGAUGGGAUUAGCUAGUAGGUGGGGUAACGGCUCACCUAGGCGACGAUCCCUAGCUGGUCUGAGAGGAUGACCAGCCACACUGGAACUGAGACACGGUCCAGACUCCUACGGGAGGCAGCAGUGGGGAAUAUUGCACAAUGGGCGCAAGCCUGAUGCAGCCAUGCCGCGUGUAUGAAGAAGGCCUUCGGGUUGUAAAGUACUUUCAGCGGGGAGGAAGGGAGUAAAGUUAAUACCUUUGCUCAUUGACGUUACCCGCAGAAGAAGCACCGGCUAACUCCGUGCCAGCAGCCGCGGUAAUACGGAGGGUGCAAGCGUUAAUCGGAAUUACUGGGCGUAAAGCGCACGCAGGCGGUUUGUUAAGUCAGAUGUGAAAUCCCCGGGCUCAACCUGGGAACUGCAUCUGAUACUGGCAAGCUUGAGUCUCGUAGAGGGGGGUAGAAUUCCAGGUGUAGCGGUGAAAUGCGUAGAGAUCUGGAGGAAUACCGGUGGCGAAGGCGGCCCCCUGGACGAAGACUGACGCUCAGGUGCGAAAGCGUGGGGAGCAAACAGGAUUAGAUACCCUGGUAGUCCACGCCGUAAACGAUGUCGACUUGGAGGUUGUGCCCUUGAGGCGUGGCUUCCGGAGCUAACGCGUUAAGUCGACCGCCUGGGGAGUACGGCCGCAAGGUUAAAACUCAAAUGAAUUGACGGGGGCCCGCACAAGCGGUGGAGCAUGUGGUUUAAUUCGAUGCAACGCGAAGAACCUUACCUGGUCUUGACAUCCACGGAAGUUUUCAGAGAUGAGAAUGUGCCUUCGGGAACCGUGAGACAGGUGCUGCAUGGCUGUCGUCAGCUCGUGUUGUGAAAUGUUGGGUUAAGUCCCGCAACGAGCGCAACCCUUAUCCUUUGUUGCCAGCGGUCCGGCCGGGAACUCAAAGGAGACUGCCAGUGAUAAACUGGAGGACGGUGGGGAUGACGUCAAGUCAUCAUGGCCCUUACGACCAGGGCUACACACGUGCUACAAUGGCGCAUACAAAGAGAAGCGACCUCGCGAGAGCAAGCGGACCUCAUAAAGUGCGUCGUAGUCCGGAUUGGAGUCUGCAACUCGACUCCAUGAAGUCGGAAUCGCUAGUAAUCGUGGAUCAGAAUGCCACGGUGAAUACGUUCCCGGGCCUUGUACACACCGCCCGUCACACCAUGGGAGUGGGUUGCAAAAGAAGUAGGUAGCUUAACCUUCGGGAGGGCGCUUACCACUUUGUGAUUCAUGACUGGGGUGAAGUCGUAACAAGGUAACCGUAGGGGAACCUGCGGUUGGAUCACCUCCUUA
Molecule: ribosomal RNA, 1542 nt
Filed under: Escherichia coli
Lineage: Bacteria; Pseudomonadati; Pseudomonadota; Gammaproteobacteria; Enterobacterales; Enterobacteriaceae
Description: bacterial SSU rRNA
Rfam family: Bacterial small subunit ribosomal RNA
Source: RNAcentral